UGCGUAGGUGGUCUUGUGUGUCAAGUGUGAAAUCCCACGGCUCACCCGUGGAACUGCACUCGAAACUGCGAGACUAGAGUCCAGGAGGGGAGAGCGGAAUUCUUGGUGUGGCGGUGAAAUGCGUUGAUAUCAAGAAGAACACCGGUGGCGAAGGCGGCUCUCUAGAAUGGUACUGACACUGAGGCACGAAAGUUGGGGGAGCAAACAGGAUUAGAUACCCUGGUAGUCC
This 229-nucleotide ribosomal RNA is filed under the name uncultured bacterium. RNAcentral's name for it is "partial 16S ribosomal RNA". It matches the Rfam family "Bacterial small subunit ribosomal RNA", at positions 568 to 796 of the family's 1533-position model. The record is from RNAcentral.